RNAcentral lists this transfer RNA (32 nucleotides) under Pemphigus bursarius (lettuce root aphid). RNAcentral's name for it is "partial tRNA-Leu". The record is from RNAcentral. Lineage: Eukaryota; Metazoa; Arthropoda; Insecta; Hemiptera; Aphididae. RNAcentral also lists the same sequence under 7 other names.
CAUUUAUAAAGAUUAAUCUUUUUUUAGAAAUU